AACAGCCAAUAAAAGAUGACUACAUCAUAGAGCACUUAUGAUGUUAUGUAACAUCACCAAGGUAGCCAGAAGGAUGAUGAUAAAUAAGGGCAGGGGACUGGAAGAGAAUGUCUAAAUAAGAAAAAAACUAGAUGAGGAAACUGAAGCAAACAUGGUUGAGUGACUUGCCUGGGUCACAUGACAAGGACUAUAUUUUCCCUGUGCAAGGAUUAUGAUACUUUUUAAUUUUCUCUGACAAAAAUGACUCAAAGAAGAGUACAGAAAAUAGAUUUAUUUUCUUCUAAAAUAGAGAAAGGCAAAAAUGAACGAGGGCGCUGUACUCAUAUUUUCUUUGAUUUAGACAAGGAGGAAAAGGAACCAAAUGUUGCUAUUACUGAAAAUGCUGAAGGAGAUGCAGCCCACAAAUAUGGAUGGAUUGAAACUGGACGAGAACCAUCUGAAGUCAAGACAGAAAGCAUCAUAGUCCUUGAGGCAUCAGAGAAAAGGAAGAAAAAUUUUACAGAUUCAGUCACUUUUCAGGAAGAAGUUGGAGAUAUCACAGUUAUGAAAGGAGAAGGAAAAAAUUAUAAAACUGCAACAAUAUCAGGACUCUGGAUCACUAGAGAACUGGAAUUUGUUGUUGUGGAAUUGAAAAAAUUAAUAGAAGAAGAAGAUCUGAAAAGUACAAAAAAACUCCAAGCUAUCUAUGACAAGACUAACAACUUAAAAGACAAACUUACAAAAUGUAUGAAUAUAUCUGAAGUGAAUAUGGAACACCAACCUGAUGAUAAAGACAAAGAAAUAUUUUCACCAGGGCAAAUCAAACAGGAACCUAAUCAGACUGAUCAAAAAUUAUCACCAGAGCAAAUACAACAGAAACCCAAUGAGAUAAAGGAUCAAAUUGUUUUAGAAUGGGGAAAAUUAGAAGACCAACCUGAAAAGAAUGAGAAAGGAGAAUUAUUACUAGGACAAUUUAAAAUAAAGCCUAAAGAGAUAAAAAAUGAAGAUAUAUCACCAGGGCAAUUAUUAGCCCCAGGGGAUUUCAUUUCAGAUAUCAGAAUUGAAAAAAAAGAACAAGGAGAAGAAUCUCUAGUAGAGGAAGAGAUUAGCAGUGACAGACCUACAGAGGAAAAGGCUCCAAGGAGGUUUUCCUGGUUCCGCAACAUCCAAGGAUACAAUUGGCGAAACUUCUUUUAUUUUAAAAGACAUGAUGAACAAAUAAAGAAUGUUUACAAGCAGGAAAAAACUGAUCUAAAAAUAUUGGAUGAUGCCUCUGCUCCUUUUGGUACCCCAAAGCCAUUGGUGUCAGAGUGGACAAUAAACCAAGUUGGUCUUUGGUUAGCAAGCAUUGGAAUGAAAAAAUAUUCCCUGAGAUUUGAUUAUAAUAGAAUAAAUGGCCUAGAACUCCUUGAACUGGAUAACGAUGAGCUAAAAUAUAUUGGUAUUGAGAAGAGAGAAGAUCGGAUGAAAAUACUUUAUGGUAUUAAGAAAAUUCAAAAGACAGAAAAAGAAUUAAUACACUUUAACAAUGAAAUUUAUCGAAAGAAGAGACAACACCUGAAAGAAAUGGCUAAAAGAGAAAAAUGAAGUGUAAAGACUUUGAAGGUUAAGAGGAGAAAGCCAGUUGCUAAGAAGCCAUAAGAAGAGCAAAGAAAAUCCUUGUUAAUAGACUCUAAGUGUCAAAAAACAUGAAAAUUGUAAUCGUUUUAUGUGCUUUCCCAAAUGGCUGUACUGACUCACUGAAUCGCAGUUUCAUCAACAAUGCACCAGUGUGGCUGCUCUCCCACAAUCCCCUCCACUUUAGUUAUCCCCAUAUCUUCCCAGCUUUGGCAAUUGGCUGGAUGUGAAGUAAGACCUCAGUUAUUUUCUUAUUUGAAAAUGGUUUAGAGCAAUUUUUCUUAUGGUUCUUUAUAGUUCAUAAUUAUCUUGGUAGUAUUCAUAUCCUUUGAUAAUUAUUUUUUAGGGCAAAUGUGGCUUUUUGAUUACAAAAAUGUAUUCUUGUUCAUAUAUAUCAUAUAU
Molecule: long non-coding RNA, 1998 nt
Organism: Monodelphis domestica (gray short-tailed opossum)
Lineage: Eukaryota; Metazoa; Chordata; Mammalia; Didelphimorphia; Didelphidae
Source: Ensembl